CAGAGGGUGCAAGCGUUGUUCGGAAUCACUGGGCGUAAAGCGCGCGCAGGCGGAUGGUUGCGUCCGGAGUGAAAUUUCGCCGCUCAACGGCGAAGCUGCUUUGGAUACGGACCGUCUAGGGACCGGUAGAGGCUGGUAGAAUUGCAGGUGUAGCGGUGGAAUGCGUAGAGAUCUGCAAGAAUACCCGUGGCGAAGGCGGCCAGCUGGGCCGGAUCCGACGCUGAGGCGCGAAAGCGUGGGGAGCAAGCAGGAUUAGAUACCCUGGUAGUCCACGCCGUAAACGAUGGGCACUAGGUGCCGGGGGGAGCGACCCCCUCGGUGCCGCAGCUAACGCGAUAAGUGCCCCGCCUGGGGAGUACGGCCGCAAGGCUG
Molecule: ribosomal RNA, 372 nt
Filed under: uncultured organism
Description: bacterial SSU rRNA
Rfam family: Bacterial small subunit ribosomal RNA
Source: RNAcentral